GUCCUACGGGACGCAGCAGUAGGGAAUAUUGCUCAAUGGGGGAAACCCUGAAGCAGCAACGCCGCGUGGAGGAUGAAGGUUUUCGGAUUGUAAACUCCUUUUGUUAGAGAAGAUAAUGACGGUAUCUAACGAAUAAGCACCGGCUAACUCCGUGCCAGCAGCCGCGGUAAUACGGAGGGUGCAAGCGUCACUCGGAAUCACUGGGCGUAAAGAGCGCGUAGGCGGAAUAGCAAGUCAGAUGUGAAAACCCAAGGCUCAACCAUGGGACUGCUUUUGAAACUGUCAAACUAGAGUAAGGGAGAGGG
Molecule: ribosomal RNA, 305 nt
Filed under: uncultured bacterium
Lineage: Bacteria
Description: bacterial SSU rRNA
Rfam family: Bacterial small subunit ribosomal RNA
Source: RNAcentral